GCGCCGCUGCUUACAACGUCAUCAGACGAGCGCGGGGGUGAGGAACCCCCGCCACCAGCCUGCAGCGCGCCCGCUAUUCCUCCUAUUUGCCUCAGGUCGCCGGACCGAGCACACGCGGCCGCGACCCAUAUUACCAUACAUUUUUUCAUACUUUGUAAUACCUAGCUAUUAAAGGCUAAGUCCUAUAUUAAAUCUUCGUUCUUCAUUUAUUAACCUUAUGUGCGCUCGCACAUAAUUUGGCGCCCCCGGGUGGGCGCGGACAUCAAAACGCCAAGCCGAAACGUAUAACUCGCGCCGCGACACGCCACGACACGCCCAUGUGUCGCCGACCCGACUGCGGACUUCCAGCCAAGAAUCUUCCAUCCUAACUGCCCGAAGCUCGUCAAUCACGCCAAGAACUACAGCGGUCAAGAAUACGACGGGACCUGGACGAGUUAGCAACCACUCGAGAAGAAAUUCGUGCGCCGGAGACGUGGCGUCUAGGUACAAAGGUCGGCCGGACGGUGGACACUGCGCCGCACGCUUGGAUCAUCCUUACAAGGAGAGUGCCGUGAGCUUACCCAUCUUAUCCUUCUUUUAUUCCCCCUCAGUUUGAGCAUAUAAAGGCGAUAGCACUUCAUCAUAACGUGUGUGAACUUAGUACAUCCUUCUUGCAUCAUUUAUGACCAUAUUAGCCAUCUUCAUUGAUUAUUGCAUCGUAAUUUAAUCCUAUAAACUAUAAACGCAUCUUAUCAAUUGUUAUUUUGCAUAAAAACGCUACUUUGCUUCUUAAGCUGUUUGCACCGCCACAUGUGCUUAAUGGCAGCUCUUCUUUGAAAAGUAGCUACAUCGUGAUUAAUCUGUACUUUCUUACAGCAUCCUACAAUUUAAAUAGCGAUUUAUUGCAUCUUACGUAGUCAUCUGUUUGCCCAUUUAUUUAUUUUGCGCAAAUAUUUUCCUUAAUCGUCUUAUACAAGAUACCUAUUUUCUGCCUGCCAAUUCUACGCCGUCUUCUAGCAUACUUUUUCAUGCGCCUUUAAAUACAAAGCAUAAAAUCAAGCCUUACGUCUUAUUUUACAUUCAUUUAAUUUCACAAAUCCCUGCUUCGCACUUCGCUUCAUGCUUACGCUCGCAUAACCAAUAUUUUCUUCAUACGCAUUUCAGUGAUACACUGCCCCGGGAACGAACCCGCUUCGAGGCUGCAUCACACCAGCGCGUGCGCAACCGGCGCAGUGCUCCGUCGCCGCCACCUGGCCGGCCGCAUUCCAGAGCGCGAUAACAAUAAGGAGCGCCACUGACGUCGCUUCCGGCCCCGGACCUGACAGAAGCCAACACUCGCAACCUGGACCGCUUCAAUCGGCUGGAGCAGAUAAGGCAGCACUUCUGGAAGCGGUGGCAGUCCGAGUACGUCAUGGAGCUGCAGCAACGUUC
This is an RNA transcript of Cydia amplana, 1410 nucleotides long. RefSeq lists it as uncharacterized. NCBI's taxonomy places the organism in Eukaryota, Metazoa, Arthropoda, Insecta, Lepidoptera, Tortricidae. The transcript has 2 exons. The record is from RefSeq and is a predicted model, not a curated record.